GCGGACGUGGCGGAACUGGUAGACGCGCAGCGUUGAGGUCGCUGUGGGAUAUUAUCCUGUGGAAGUUCGAGUCUUCUCGUCCGCACCA
Molecule: transfer RNA, 88 nt
Filed under: Candidatus Pelagibacteraceae bacterium
Lineage: Bacteria; Pseudomonadati; Pseudomonadota; Alphaproteobacteria; Candidatus Pelagibacterales; Candidatus Pelagibacteraceae
Description: tRNA-Leu
Rfam family: tRNA
About the family: Transfer RNA (tRNA) molecules are approximately 80 nucleotides in length.
Source: RNAcentral